CGUAAUGUUAUAAUAAUUAUUUUACAUUCAUAAUUUGAUUAUAUAACAAUUAAUAUAUUAUAUGUCCGUAAACAAGUAUAUAUACUAUUUUAUAUUAUAUAAUAUGUACUAAAUCUAAUUAUGUCACAUUACAAAAUAAGUUCAUAUCAUAAUUGUAGAGCCCAAUAUUUGCCCGGCCCGCUAAAGAAACCAAAAAGAAAAAAAACAAAAACAAAAUUAACCCCAGCCCAAUACCCUUUGGCCCAACAGACCCAAGCCAUUAACCUUGUACAGCCCAAAAACAGGAAACCCUAAGCAGUGGCAGCAAACUGGCGCCGCAACUGCUGCCCCAUUGCGCGCCUCCGUCUGCACGCACACCUCCGCGAAAUCCGCGCACGUCACACCUACAGCAACGAACAGAAACAAACAGCAAAAAAGAAGGCAUAUACAAACGCAACAAUAACAGAAAAUAAGGAUGCUUUUCGUAUUUUACGGGAUUUUUAUUCAUUUAUCUUUCUUUUUUUUCGGGUAUAAAAUCGAUGGAAAAAAUCUGUAAAAUGGGGGGGAUUUUUUCAGUGUAAAAGAUAUACGAAAACAGAGAGAAAUCUUUUGAAUACUAAAGGUGAAUUUUUUGUUUUCAUUUUAUUCUUGGGUGUUCAUUAUUCCUAGGAAGGAUUUUCUUUUUUCUUUUUAUUUUUUUAUUUUUUUCGGUUAAAAUAUAAAAAAAGGGAGAGGAUCUUACCUGGUGCCGUCGCUGUGUCCCCUCUUCGUCGCAAUCGGAGGCCGGGGCGUCGUCGAAGGCCGUGGGAGGCUUGAGUGGCGGCGGCGGCAUAAAAAGGGAGAAACCCUAGCUGAGGGUUUCUCUGCUAUUUAGAAUGGAAAAGAAAAAAUGAAUUUUGAAAGGAAAUUUUUGAUUUUAUAACAAGACCAAAACGGCGCUGUAUAGGGCCAUACCCAAGUGCGUGACCCGACCCGCCUGCGGAUCCGCGCAUUUCCACUCGGAAUGGGAUAUUUUUUCAAUCAGUCCCCCUGAUUUUGAUUCGUUUUCAAAAUUGUUAUUUCAAAUAUUUGCAAUUUUAGCCACGUUGUUUCUCUUCCGUUUUAAUUUGGUCCAUUGACCAUGCGCAUGGGCCUCACUGGUACGACGCAGUUCGAUCGGAAUGGGAAUAUUUCCCUUCUGGUCCUCCUCCUUUCACGCGAGUUGUGAAUCUGUCCUUUUUUUUAAAAAAUUUUGAUUUUGGCCCUAAAACUUUGCGUAGUUUCGAUUUAGUCCCCAAUUUGUUAUCAGUUAUUUUUAAACUAAAUAUUUUAUUAUUGUCCUUGUUAUUAUAUAAUAUCAUUACUAUAGUAUUAUUAUUUUGUUAUAAUCAUUACAUUUGUGCAUUUUUUUUACAAUGUAUGCGUAUACAUUUAUAUAUAUAUUCAUAUGUAUUUUAUAGUAUAUAUACAUUUCAUAAUAUUUAUAGAUUUUCUAUAAUAUACAUACAUUUUUAUAUCUUUUAAAAUUAUUAUAAAUAUUUUUUUAUUUUAUAUAUCUCAUUAUUUUAUAUACAUGUAGAGCCCAGUUAUUGCCCAGGCCUAAACCAAUACAGGCCCAACAAAAUUAAAACUCAAGCCCAAUUACCCAAACAAUAAACAAACCAGCCCAACACUAAAAAACCCUAGAACCUUCAGCACAACUCCUAGAGUCGUAGCCAAGCAACCCCAACUGCCGCACGACUCGGGGCCAGAAGCCUCCCUCCGAGCAAUUUGCGCCUCCACGUGCGCCGCUCCUCCACGAGCGCCAUGCCUUGCGCAUCGCACCUGCAACAGCAAACAAAAACAAACCGCAACGAAAUAGGGAUAGCAUAAGAGACAACGGGAGAAAGAUGGUAUAAAUUUUGCAUCCCAGUGGAUCAAACUUGGAGGUUUACAGUGGGGGGCAAUCUGGUCAAGUGUUUCUUUCGAGACGCCAGCUGAGCAAGAGGGUGCUAUAGUACAUUAGCGAUGAAACUUUAAAUAAACUGUGAGUAAUGAUAACCUAAGUGAAAAUGAGGGAUCAUACUCGAAAAAAUGACAUUCUGCAUUCAUUCAAAUGUCAUUCAUACAUGCCUAGUUAGGAGCAUUUGAUUCAUUUGAUCAUGACAUCCUAAUCAUUAGGCAUAGUUAGGUUCAUAAAGUGAAUUAUACAGGUCAUGUUCCCCAGAGAACAGAUCGGUGAAAUCAUAAAGCCUUAUCUCCCUGGACAACAGUUGAGUAGGUUCAAAGUCAACAGAUCUUGUCUCCCCAUACUGGUGGUGGAGUAGAUCAAAGAAAGCAGAUCUUGCCUUCAUGUAUCGGCGUGAAGUAGAUCAAAGUCAACAGAUCUUGUCUCCCCAUACUGGUGGUGGAGUAGAUCAAAGAAAGCAGAUCUUGUCUUCAUGUACUAGCGUGAAGUAGAUCAAAUAUACAGAUCUCGCCUUCCCAUACUGGUGGCGAAGCAGAUCGAAGGAAAAAGCAGAUCUUGUCUUCAUGUACUGGCGUGAAGUAGAUCAAAGAUACAGAUCUCGCCUUCCUAUACUGGUGGCGAAGCAGAUCGAAGGAAAAAGUAGAUCUUGUCUCCCCAUACUGGUGGCGAAGCAGAUCGAAGGAAAAAGUAGAUCUUGUCUUCAUGUACUGGCGUGAAGUAGAUCAAAGAUACAGAUCUCGCCUUCCCAUACUGGUGGCGAAGCAGAUCGAAGGAAAAAGCAGAUCUUGUCUUCAUGUACUGGCGUAAAGUAGAUCAAAGAUACAGAUCUCGCCUUCCCAUACUGGUGGCGAAGCAGAUCGAAGGAAAAAACAGAUCUUGUCUCCCCAUACUGGUGGCGAAGCAGAUCGAAGGAAAAAGCAGAUCUUGUCUUCAUGUACUGGCGUGAAGUAGAUCAAAGAUACAGAUCUCGCCUUCCCAUACUGGUGGCGAAGCAGAUCGAAGGAAAAAGUAGAUCUUGUCUUCAUGUACUGGCGUGAAGUAGAUCAAAGAUACAGAUCUCGCCUUCCCAUACUGGUGGCGAAGCAGAUCGAAGGAAAAAGCAGAUCUUGUCUUCAUGUACUGGCGUGAAGUAGAUCAAAUAUACAGAUCUCGCCUUCCCAUACUGGUGGCGAAGCAGAUCGAAAGAAAAAGCAGAUCUUGUCUUCAUGUACUGGUGUGAAGUAGAUCAAAGAUAACAGAUCUCGCCUUCCCAUAUUGGUGGCGAAGCAGAUCGAAAGAAAGUAGAUAUUGUCUUCAUGUAUCAGCGUGAAGUAGAUCAAAGUCAACAGAUCUUAUCUCCCCAUACUGGUGGUGGAGUAGAUCAAAGAAAGUAGAUCUUGCCUUCAUGUAUCAGCGUGAAGUAGAUCAAAGUCAACAGAUCUUGUCUCCCCAUACUGGUGGUGGAGUAGAUCAAAGAAAGCAAAUCUUGUCUUCAUGUAUUGGCGUGAAGUAGAUCAAAGAAACAGAUCUUGUCUCCCCAUACUGGUGGUGGAGUAGGUCGAAGAAAACAGAUCGUGUCUUCAUGUACUGGCGUGAAGUAGAUCAAAGAUAGUAGGUCCUGUCUUCCUAUAUUGGUAGCGAAGUGGAUCGAAUAUACAUCUUCCCAUACCUGUGGCAAAGUAGAUUGAAGAUUACAGAUUUUGCCUCCCUAAGCAGUAGUGGAGCAGAUCGAAGAUGACGGAAUUUACCUCCCUGAAGUUGCAGUGGAGUAUAUUGAAGCCAGUAAUUCUACAUCCCCGGUCGGUAGUGGAAUCGAUCGAAGAAAGCAGAUCUUGUCUUCCCAUACUGGUGGUGAAGUAGAUCAAAGAUACAAGUCUUAUCUCCCUGAAGUUGCAGUGGAGCAGACAGAAAUAACCGGCCCUAUCUCCUUGGAGUUGCAAUGGAGUGGACUAAAACCACAGAUCGCAUCUCUCUGAAGUUGCAGUAGAGCAGAUCGUGUCAGAUUUAUCCUUAAGUUGUAGCAGAGCAAAUUGAAGCUACAGGUCUUAUCUCCCUGAAGUUGCAGUGGAGCAGAUUAAAAUUUAGUUCUCUUGAGAAGCUACAACAUACAAAUCCUAUCUCCCUGACAUUGCAGUGGAGUAGAUUGAAACGCUAGUUCCUAUAUCUCAGAAGAUGUAGCAGGAAGGAAUGAGGCUAUUUGAAGUAGAGAAGCAUUGAAGAAGUUGAGGCUCAAUAAGGCCGGGCACAAUUGGGCUUUUGGUCUUUGCUCUAUUCCCGUUACACGACAAUGAGCAAAGAGGGGCAGCUGUAGAGCCCAGUUAUUGCCCGGGCCUAAACCAAUACAGGCCCAACAAAAUUAAAACUCAAGCCCAAUUACCCAAACAAUAAACAAACCAGCCCAACACUAAAAAACCCUAGAACCUUCAGCACAACUCCUAGCGCCGUAGCCAAGCAACCCCAACCGCCGCACGACUCGGGGCCAGAAGCCUCCCUCCGAGCAAUUUGCUCCUCCACGUGCGCCGCUCCUCCACAAGCGACAUGCCUUGCGCAUCGCACCUGCAACAGCAAACAAAAACAAACCGCAACGAAAUAGGGAUAGCAUAAGAGAUUUCGUUUUUUAGAUUUAUUUUUAUUUUCUAUUGUUGGCUAUAAAAGGCCAACUUCAAUAUGUAAAUGGGGGGGAACGGAUUUUUGUAUCGAGAGAAUACAGAGAAAGAAGAGAAAAAAAUAAAAAGAGGAAUACACAAGCAGUUUUUUAGGUGAUUUUCUCCAUUUUUUUAUUUCCAUUUUUACAAAAGAAUAAUAAAAAAUAUAAACGGGUGCUUACCUGGUUUUGAGAACCGGAUCUGAGCACCGUUCGCGGUGGUUCCAUGGCAGUCAAUGGCGCCAUGAAAGCUAGGGUUGGAAAACCUAGCAGACAAACUUCUCCCUUUUCCCCUCUGUUUAUGUUUUUAAAAAAAAGAAAAAUGAAAUGAAGCAGAAACCGUUUUUUUUUAAGGAAAAUGUUGGUUUUAUUAUUAAAGCAAAACGGCGCCAUAUGGGAGGGGGUGGGAUCCGCGCGCCGACCCGACCCGGUUCCAAGAUCCGCGCCUAUUCCUUUAAAUGGUCCAUUUGCGCAUUUGGUCCUUCAAUUUUUAAAAUCGUUUUUAAAUCAGUUUUUUUUUCUUUUUAAAUGUGGCCGCACACUUUGCUUUUGUUUCAUUUUGAUCCUCUUUUAAACGCACUGUUUGGGGAAAAGAAUUAUUUCCAUUUUGGCCCCUCAUAUAAUGUAUGCGUUGCAAAUUGGCCCCCGUUCUAUUUUAAUUUCAUUUUUGGUUAUUUUGUUUUUUUUUUGCAAUUCGUUUUUUAAAAUUUUUUAUUUUUAAAAUUAUUACUAUAUUAUUUAUUAUCAUUUAUUACUAUUUCUAUAUUUAUACAUGCAUUUUACAUACGUUUUAUAUUUUUUUUUAUUUUAUCUUUUUUAACCUUUAUAUACUUUAUAUUAUAUAUAUACUUAUAUAUUUCUUUUAUUUUGUAAAUAUAUACACAUGUACAUACUUUUAUGUUUUUUUAUUUUAUUUUCAUAAUUUUUACAUGUACAUAUAUAUAUAUUUCUAUAAUAUGUGCGUACAUUUUUUUUUUAGAAAUUAUUACAGGGCUUUUGCUUUACAUGUUUCAUUCCUUUUUAGAUGUAUACUAAUAUAUGUUGGAAAAGAUACAUGCACACUCAUAUUUUUAAUUUACUUGUAAAUUGUGCUUGUAUAUAUAUUUUGUAAAUACAUGUACAUAUAUAUUUUAAAUUAAGGUAUUUGUUUCAUGUUGUACAUUAACCUUUUAACACGCCUUUUAGAAAACACAUAUUUUGGUUCUCAAAGUAUUUAAAUCAUCCUAUUUUAUAAAUUCCAAAAUAUUUGGCAUUCAUGAUUCUCGUGAAAGAUCGUGUCCUAACUUACUGGAUUGCGAUUAUUUUUCGAUGAAUUUAGAAAGCCAAGUAUUUGUUUUGCAAUAAAUCCACAAAUUUCAAAUAAAAGCUUAUUCUCGGGAAUUCAAAAUGUUGGGUCCUAACUUACUGGUCAUGACAUUUUAUUAUCUCGAAAUAAGGAUUUCAAAAACAAAAGGCAAUAUUCGGAAUUUUGAAGAUUUAAAAACAUUGUGCCCUAACUCACUGGGUGUGGUGUUUUAUUUCUUUGAAAUAAGAAUGUCUUUUUAUUUUAAUCCAUUCAUGAAAUAAAAAGUUUCCUUUUAAAAUGUUUUCAAAUUUUCGACACCAAGACAUUAAAAAAAAUCAAUUUGGUACCAAUUUUGGGCGUUACGAGGGUGCUAAUCCUUCCUCGUGCGUAACUGACUCCCGAACCUGUUUUCUCAAAUUUCGCAGACUAAAAUUAUUUUUAAGGUGGGCCGAUCACACCUUAAUAAAGGAUCGGUGGCGACUCCAGUUUUUAUUUUUAAGUCAAAACUAAAAUUUUUGUUUUCAAAGAACGGUUUCGACAAUACAUAUUGUACAUAUAUAUAUGUAUUUGAAUAUAUACGUAUGCGAAUUUUCAUGAUUUACCUAUGUAUAUAUACUUAUACAUUUUUUUCCUAUUCUGUAAAUAUAUACACAUACGCAUAUCUUUAUACUUUUUUUUAUUUUUACGAUUUUCAUAUACAUUUUAAAUUAAAGUAUUUGUAUCAUAUUGUACAUUAAUUCUUUAACAUACCCUUUUUGAAAAUAUGGUUUGGUUCUAACCAUACAUCAAAGUUAUUUUCUUGAUUCAAAGGUUUUUUUGAAUAAAAGCAAUAUUCGAAGUUUGGGAUUUUCGAGGGAAAUUGAGCCCUAACGUAUUGGGUUUUGAUUUUCUUUGUUAAUCCUAAAUAACCGAGAAUAUUCUUUAUUCAAAAUGCAUGAGAAUAAAAAUCAUUUUUGGGAACUUAACUUGUUGUGUCCUAACGUAUUGGGUGUGGCAUGUUAUUUUCUCAAAAUGAAGAUUUUCACAUAAAAUAAAGUGAUAUUCAAAGUUCGGGGAUUAUGAAGAAUUGUACCCUAACGUAUUGGGACUCGAUUUCUUUACAUGACUUGAGCAAUUGAUUAUCCAUUUUCAAAUUCCAUCGUUUGAGUUGAUUUUGAAAUCUUUUUAAACCUUCGACACUAAGACAUCAAAUAAUCAAUUUGGUACCGAUUUUGGGCAUUACGAGGGUGCUAACCCUUCCUCGUGCGUAACUGACUCCCGAACUCGUUUUCUUAAAAUUCGUAGACCAAAAUAAUUUUUAAGGUGAGCCGAUCACACCUUAAUAAAGGAUCGGUGGCAACUCCAGUUUUAUUUUUAAAGUCGACAACUAAAUUUUUGUUUUCAAAAAAUGGUUUCGACAGCUUGGCGACUCCACUGGGGACAUUAGAGAGUCAAGCCAUAAAUUGGUUAUUUGUUUGUCUUGUGAUCGAAAAUUAAAUUUGGGUUUUAAAAUCAUAAUUUCCCUUCAUACUUUUUUUUACCAUGGAAUGUUGGCUACUUUGCAUUUGCAUUUGCAUUUUGCAUUUUACCCUUUAAGUGGGAGCGAGAAACUAGUCCUUCGUGAGGUUUUCACCUCCGUGUAGGGUAGUGGACCGCUUCCGGGAUACAUCCGUACCUAUGUCUUCGUGAGAUUUUCAUCUCCGUGCAGCCAUAAGGAAAUGUAUCCCCCUGAACUAAACUCGAUCCAUAUGAGCCUAUAAUGGGUGAGGAUCGAGGAAUCUGCUGGUUCGGGUACCCUUACUCUAGAAACUAAACCUUAUAUAGUGAGCUUUAGGAACUUGACCUAGGUAGAACUAUCCCAAAACCCUAGUGAAUUCCUGAAUAAAUGUUCUUGCUAUUUCAUGUUUGUAUUGGAUUAUAUCUUUUUGGUGUGAUACUGACUUGGGUUUAUUUUGUUUUGAUUGCAUGACAUCAUGAUUGUAUUGCAUUUGCAUCUUAGAAAAGAAAUGUUGAUUUGAGUUCGAUUACUAGAUUAGAAAGCUUGUUAUGGAAUACGGGUUUCUUGAUAAGGUGGAAGAUAAUACGGUGGUCCGAAGAAAACAUAGCACGAAAAGCCUAACAAGAGGAGUAUUCAACUUUGCUGCAUGACCUGAGGAUCCAAAUUGUCAAAGUUUGUUCAAAAGUCAUCAAAGGUCCCAAUCUCAUAAAGAAGCUAAUGAACGUGAAUGAGCAAGGAUUUACGACCUAGAUCAAACAAAAAGGAGAUCAAAUUCGUGAGAUGUAUCUUAAUAUCUGAAGGGUCGAUGUCUUCACUUGGAGUACGAGGGUAAAGCCGUAUAUAUAUGUCCGCUUUAUGUAAAGAGAUUUGUUUUCUAGUAAAGUUUUCUAGUAAAAAUUAAACAUGAAUCAACGUCUCUUUUUUGCAUUCAUUUCAUGCACUUGCAUCACAUUACAUCACAUGCACUAAACACCGUUAAGGGAUCCUGAUUAACUAAAAUCAUUACUCAGUUAACCUGGAAACCAACCAACCAACCAGACACCGUUAUGGUACUCGAGCAAAGAUUAAGGACAUGGAUCAGAAAUUGGAAAAACUCGAACAGUGUCAGAUGGAGAUGCAAGACUGACUUCAGCUACAGGUGCAGGAGCGGUUAGAUAAGAUGCAACAGGAUAUGUCUGAGAAGAUGUGAGAAUCUCAAGAUGAUAUGAUAGCGAAGCUAACCAAACUGUUAACUAAGGGAAGUGAUAAAGGAAAGGGCCCCAUGGCAAAUGUCGAUGAGGGAAAUGAUGAUGAACCUCUCUAUCCUCCAGGUUUCAUCCCUCCACAUGUACGAACUCAAGCUGAAUACCCGCGCAAAUCUACUGUAACCAUCAUGCCGCAGCAGUUUCAGGCUGGUGUUUUGAGCUUCCAAGCUAGACCGAGAUUUAAUCCUGAAAAUAAUCCUAUUAACUCUGCCAUUCCUGACUUUGAUGAAGUGGUUGAGAAGGAAAGAAUGAAGGAGGAGUUAUCGAAACAGUUAGAGGAAAUAUGCAAGUGGCUCGAGGAGAAGUUCAAGGCAAUGGAGGUUGCUAAAAGUUAUCGAGGCACUGAUGCCAAAGAGCUAAGCUUAGUUCCGGACUUGGUGCUUCCUCAUAAGUUUAAGAUGCCGGAGUUUGAAAAGUACAAUGGGACAAGUUGCCUAGAAGCUCAUAUCACCAUGUUCUGCAGACGAAUGGCGGGAUAUGUUAACAACGACCAACUCUUGAUACAUUGUUUCCAAGACAGCCUUGCAGGGGCAGCAUCCAAAUGGUACAAUCAGCUGAGCCGUACCACGAUAGGUUCAUGGAGGGACUUGGCACAAGCAUUCAUGAAACAGUAUAGUCAUGUGACAGACAUGGCUUCUGAUAGAAUUACCCUUCAAAACAUUGAGAAGAAGCCGAGCGAAAGCUUUAGGCAGUACGCACAAAGGUGGAGGGAAGUCGCAGUCCAAGUUCAACCACCGCUCUUAGAGAAAGAAAUGAUGAUGCUUUUUAUAAAUACAUUGAAAGCCCCGUUCAUCACACAUAUGUUAGGAAGUGCCACAAAAAACUUUUCUGACAUAGUUAUGAAUGGUGAAAUGAUUGAAAGCGCCAUAAUGAGUGGGAAAAUUGAUGCAGAGGAGAGUAACAAGAGGUUAGUCCCAAGGAGAAGAGAAAAUGAGGUGAACAAUACGGGUUACUCUAAAUCAGUUACUAUGAGUCAGCCAAGAGAGGUGGAUACUAACCAAUAAGGUUCAUUAAGACAAGAAUCUAGAGUGAAACCAGGUACCGAGAAGCUCCAGUUCAUACCAAUUUCGAUGUCAUAUAAGGAUCUGUAUCAAAGCUUGUUUGAUGCACAUAUUAUUGCUCCACAUUACUUAAAACCUCCACAACCUCCGUAUCCUAAGUGGUAUGAUGCAAACGCGCAAUGUGACUACAACGCAGGAAUUACGGGGCACUCAUUAAAGAAUUGCAUUACCUUCAAAAAGCUAGUUGAAAAAUUCAUCAAUAUGGGUAUUGUCAAGUUGGGUGACUCAUCAAGUGCAGAAAAUCCGUUACCCAAUCAUGAUUGAUGGUGAAGGGAAUGCAACGAAUGAAGAAGUGGAGACACAAUUAAAAGGAUCAUUGUUAGAUAUUCGCCUUAGAGGUGUUGUAAAUAAUGAGACUGUAGAGGAAACCCCUGAAGUAUUUAGAGUCCGUUAGAGUAAUGUUCAGAACACACUUGUUGCUUUUAGCCUAGAAGCAAUAAGAACUUCUUUGUGAAAUAGGCUCAUGUCUGAACAUUGUUAUUUUAAUGAAAUACAUUAUUGCAAUCAUCUUUGGGCAAAUGUUCUUUCAUUCUUUACGAUUUUUUUUCAUUCUUUCAGAUUUUUUCUGCCAAACCAUUCAUUCAUAUUAUUCAUAUAUUCUUUGUAUAUCCUUUAGCACCUACAAUAGGUCCUUGGAUAUCAAUGACAUGAGUGACGCUGCUACAGACUCAGAAUCUCCUUUUUGAUGAGACAUGUGUUUAGAGGGAUCUCACAGCUUUGAAGGUGACAUGGAUUGUAGCUUAUCUCCAGACUUUUUGAGGAUGGUAGAGGAUAGAUAGAUCCUACCUCACAAAGAAUCAUUAAAAGUUGUGAGCUUGGUGAAGAUUGGAAUUAAUAUGACUUUAAAGACAAAGCAUGACAUUGUUAAGUUACUUCAAGAAUUCAAAGAUGUCUACGCAUGGUCAUACCAGGAUAUGCCUAGGUUAAGCACUGUCAUUACAAUCUGAACAACAGCACGAUAUCAGAAAUUUUCAGUAUGUUCAAGAUUAAUAUCAUGAAUGAUGCAGUGGAAAUUCUACCAGAGCAGUGCCCCUCUCUUUAGUUCAUCACGGUUUUUUCUAUUGAAGUUGAAAUUCUUUCUCUUCGGGUAUUGGCUGAGCAAGUUGGAUGAAGCAGAAUAGAUCCGAUCGCAAUGUGAUCAAUUGAACUUGAUAGAAGGAAGAAGAUUAAAAGCUAUUCAUCACGGUCAGAUGUACCAGAAAUGAAUGAUGCAAGCCUAUAACAAAAGGUUCAUCCUAGAGAAUUCCACGAGGGUGACCAAAUGUUGAAGAUCCUCCAUCUACAAAAAUAUUAUGGAAGGAAAUGGAUGCCAAAUUGGGUGGAACCUUAUGAUUAUAGAGAAGGUUUUUUUCCAAAUGAGCUUUGAUUUUGAGCGAGAUGGAUGAUAAACCUGUAAAGUCCUGUAAACUCAAAUUCAGUCAGGAAAUUCUCCGUUUUAAGAAGGAGAGGACCAAGGUAAAAACCCACAAAGGGAAGUUUGAGUCCAAAAAAAAAAGAAAAGAAAAAGAAGUGAUGUGAAAAAUGAAAAGAUGAAAAUGAAAAAUGAAAAAGUAAAAAGUAAAAAUGGAGAGGCUAAGGUGAAAACCCGCAAAUGGCGCCUUAGACCAAAGGGGAUUUGAGUUGAAAACCCAAAAAGGGCGGCUCAAAUGUUGAUCAAAAUGGCGUUUGAAAUUUUCAGAGUAGCUCAAAUACUGAUCAGAAUGGGGGCAUGCAGUGGUCUUGCUAUACCUGAAUCAACAGGAAAUGGUAGGCGACAUCUUGGGGCAUCGACAAAGUACUCCUAAACACAUGUUAAACUCAGAAUGGUCUUUAAAAAAAUCUGUACAGAGAAGUUCAAGUUGCGAUAUCUGAGACACCUAAUCAUUAUACUAUUUUUUUUGUUAUUCUUGGAACACUACAUUCAUUUCCAAGAUAUGCAUUCCUAAAUCAAUUUCUUUGUUAUCCAUCUUUAUUAUCUUUGACAACUUAUUCAUUUCGAGUAUGCUCAGAACCAAUCUAUUCUUAUCCAUGAUCUUUUUUGCAAGCAUGUUGCAUUAGAAUAAUGAUUAAUGGACUAAUAAAACUUUCACAAGGGAAGUUUUGCAUAUUACUCUAGAAGUUUCUGAAUAAUAUAGGAACCUCAAACAGGACUAUUGUUUAGAACGCACCAGGUUGGAAAUCUGAUAAAGAAGAGUUUAAAUUAAGACUAUCCCUUUGAAUUUUCUUGUCUAACAUAUUAAUUGAACAAAAUGGCAAGAUGCCGUGUUGGUGACAAAGCUUCAAUAAACAAGCAAGCAAUGAUCACCGAAUAAUAAGAAGAAGUUGUUCUUGGAGAAGAUUUCUUCAUUUGUGCAUGAGCAUUUGGUACAACACCCUGGGAAUGGUGUGAGAGACCAAAAAGUUUCACAUCCUGUAUCCUUGAAUUGUGAUAACAGAGGAUUUAGGAAAGGCCAAAUCUUUUACUCUUGGUUUACAACGGGAGAAAGAUGGUACAAAUUUUUGCAUCCCAGUGGAUUAAACUUUGAAGGUUACAGUGGGGGCAAUCUGGUUAAGUGUUUCUUUGGAGACGCCAGCCGAGCAAGAAGGCGUUAUAGCACAUUAGCGAUGAAACUUUAAAUAAACUUGGAGUAAUAAUAACUCAAGCGUUAAAAUAUCAUUUUCAUGACAUUCUGCAUUCAUUCAAAUGUCAUUCAUACAUGUCUAGUUAGGAGCAUUUGAUUCAUUCUGAUCAUGUCAUCCUAAUCAUUAGGCAUAAUUAGGUUCAUUAUACAGGUCAUGUUCUCCAGAGAACAGAUCAGUGAAAAUAGCAGAUCUUGCCUUUCUGCAUUGACAGCGAAGCAAAUUGAAGAUACCAGUCUUACCUCCCUCGGUUGCAGUGGAGCAGGUUGAUGGCGGAUUUUACCUCCCUGAGGUUAUAGUGGAGUACAUUGAAGCCAAUAAUUCUAUCUCCUUGGGCAGCAGUGGAAUAGAUUGAAGAUUACAGAUCUUAUCUCUCUAAGCAAUAAUGGAGCAGAUCAAAUAUGGCAGAUUUUACCUCCCUGGGGUUACAGUGGAGUACAUUAAAGCCAGUAAUUCUAUCUCCCUAGGCAGCAGCGGAAUAGAUUGAAGAUUACAGAUCUUAUCUCCCUAGGUAGUAGUAGAGUAGAUCGAGGAUGGCAGAUUUUACCUCCCUGAGGUUACAGUGGAGUACAUUGAAGCCAGUAAUUCUAUCUCCCUGGGCAGCAGUGGAAUAGAUUGAAGAUUACAGAUCUUAUCUCCCUAAGCAGUAGUGGAGUAGAUCGAAGAUGGCGGAUAUUACCUCACUGAGGUUACAGUGGAGUACAUUGAAGCCAGUAAUUCUAUUGAAGAUUACAGAUAUUAUCUCCCUCAGCAGUAGUGGAGCAGAUCAAGGAUGGCGGAUUUUACCUCCCUGAGGUUACAGUGGAGUACAUUGAAGCCAGUAACUCUAUCUCCCUAGACAACAGUGGAAUAGAUUGAAGAUUACAGAUCUCAUCUCCCUAGGCAGCGAAGUAGAUCAAAGUUGCAAUGGGGCAAACUAAGGAACCACAGAUCUUAUCUCUCUGAAGUUGCAGAGGGCGGAUCGCAUCUAGUCUUAUCUCCCUGAAGUUGCAGUGGAGCAGACAGAACAAACUCCUUGAAGUUGCAACGGAGUGGAUUAUAACCACAGAUCUCAUCUAUCUGAAGUUGCAGUAGAGUAGAUCGCGUCAGAUCUUAUCUUUAAGUUGUACCAGAACAAGUUGAAGCUAUAAGUCUUAUCUCCCUGAAGUUGCAGUGGAGCAGACUAGAGAUAGCAAAUUUUGUUCUUUUGAGAAGCCACAAGGUACGAAUCCUAUCUCCCUGACGUUGCAGUGGAGUGGAUCGAAGCACUGGUUCCUAUACCCCUGAAGAUGCAGUAGGAAUAAACGAGGCUACCUGAGAAAGAAAAGCACUGAUAAAGUUGAAGCUUAGUAAGAUCGGGCACAAUUGGGCUUUUAGUCAUUGCUCUAUUCCCGUUACACGACAAUGAGCAAAGAGGGGCAGCUGUAGAGCCCAAUUUUUGCCCGGCCCGCUAAAGAAACCAAAAAGAAAAAAAAAACAAAAUUAACCCCAGCCCAAUACCCUUUGGCCCAACAGACCCAAGCCAUUAACCUUGUACAACCCAAAAAUAGGAAACCCUAAGCAGUGGCAGCAAACUGGUGCCGCAACUUCUGCCCCAUUGUACGCCUUCGUCUGCAUGCACACCUCCGCGAACAUCGCGCACGUCACACCUGCAGCAACGAACAGAAACAAACAGCAAAAAAGAAGGCAUAUACAAACGCAACAAUAACAGAAAAUAAGGAUGCUUUUCGUAUUUUGCGGGAUUUUUAUUUGUUUAUCUUUCUUUGUUUUCGGGUAUAAAAUCGAUGGAAAAAAUCUGUAAAAUGGGGGGGAUUUUUUCAGUGUAAAAGAUAUACGAAAACAGAGAGAAAUCUUUUGAAUACUAAAGGUGAAUUUUUUGUUUUCGUUUUAUUCUUGGGUGUUCAUUAUUCCUAGGAAGGAUUUUCUUUUUUCUUUUUAUUUUU
RNAcentral lists this long non-coding RNA (14116 nucleotides) under Gossypium barbadense (sea-island cotton). RNAcentral describes it as "long non-coding RNA (GBAR_LNC019825)". The record is from RNAcentral. Lineage: Eukaryota; Viridiplantae; Streptophyta; Magnoliopsida; Malvales; Malvaceae.